GGUUCACACGAGUAAUUCUAAUCAAUAAAACCCGAAUUACUCAGGAACCCCAGCUACAAGGAAGUGCUUCUUCUUGUUGUAUUAUGACUUUUAACUUUUUAUUAUUGUGAAAAUUUCAAACCAUACUAAAGUUGAAAGAGUGAGAUAAUGCACAUCUAUAUAGUCCUCAAUUAGAGUCACUGAUAAUGCCAGUUGAAAGGACACUAAUGAUGAGACUGAGUUAGGAUGCCAGAGGAGAGUUUAUGAGACAUCAAGGGAAUUGAAGCAGCACUGGCAGGGAGUGUCUCAGACUAUGAUAAGGAUCUGACAAGGUCUCAGCCGACCUAACACAGAGCUCCAGAGCAAAGAUUUCCCACUGCACAGCUGGUAUCACGCACUGAUCAGUCACUGGCUGGGCACUGCUGGGGAAGAGUGUUGCCUCAGCUCAAAAGCAGAAUCGGAUCCUGAAGGACCUAAUGACUAGAAACUUCCAGCUGACUACACUCUGCAACUGACUGAUUUGAACGUCUAUAGAAUAUUACAUCUCUUUGACCUGAAGGACUUGCUUUAGCAUUUCUUGUACUACAAGUCUGAUGGAGAUGGCACAUUGCAUAAAGAAACGCGAACCCAGCAGCACUCCUGCCAGCGGCAAUUCUGAGUGCUCAUUUCCACUUUGCCAAGACAUUACAUGGGAAGGCAUGUGCGUUUAAGGGCAUCCAAUUGUUUCUGUAUCAGAACAGCAGCAACAUCCCGGGCAGGCCUUUCCUCUGGAGUUCACGUGUAGGUCGUACUGACACACAACAUGGCCUAAAUGGACCAUGGAGGAGGAAGGGACCCCAAAUCCAGGCCAAAUGGGAGCAGGGUUGUCCUCAGGAGGACCCCAGCUAGAAGACUUUCUCUGGAACCCACGGUGCCUCUCACUAAAGUGCCCCAACGUUGGCACAACACCUACCGAAUUGUUGUUGCUGACUCUCUAUGCCCAUGAUUCAACCAGAACAACAUUGAUUCGUUAAAAGGUGCAUGAAUAAACUUGACUCUGGAAACAACAACA
Molecule: long non-coding RNA, 1030 nt
Filed under: Homo sapiens (human)
Lineage: Eukaryota; Metazoa; Chordata; Mammalia; Primates; Hominidae
Description: HSALNT0144305
Source: RNAcentral